This 498-nucleotide ribosomal RNA is filed under the name uncultured bacterium. RNAcentral's name for it is "partial 16S ribosomal RNA". It matches the Rfam family "Bacterial small subunit ribosomal RNA", at positions 28 to 507 of the family's 1533-position model. The record is from RNAcentral.
GACGAACGCUGGCGGCGUGCCUAAUACAUGCAAGUCGAGCGGACGGAUGGGAGCUUGCUCCCAGACCGUCAGCGGCGGACGGGUGAGUAACACGUGGGCAACCUGCCUGUAAGACUGGGAUAACUCCGGGAAACCGGGCCUAAUACGGGAUAACUCUUGCCCUCACAUGAGGGAAAGCUGAAAGAUGGCAUCUCGCUAUCACUUACAGAUGGGCCCCCGGCGCAUUAGCUAGUUGGUGAGGUAACGGCUCACCAAGGCGACGAUGCGUAGCCGACCUGAGGGGGUGAUCGGCCACACUGGGACUGAGGCACGGCCCAGACUCCUGCGGGAGGCAGCAGUAGGGAAUCUUCCGCAAUGGACGAAAAUCUGACGGAGCAACGCCGCGUGAGUGAUGAAGGUUUUCGGAUCGUAAAACUCUGUUGUCAGGGAAGAACAAGUACCGGAGUAACUGCCGGUACCUUGACGGUACCUGGCCAGAAAGCCACGGCUAACUACGUG